This 468-nucleotide ribosomal RNA is filed under the name uncultured bacterium. RNAcentral describes it as "partial 16S ribosomal RNA". It matches the Rfam family "Bacterial small subunit ribosomal RNA", at positions 28 to 507 of the family's 1533-position model. The record is from RNAcentral.
GACGAACGCUGGCGGCGUGCUUAACACAUGCAAGUCGAACGGAAAGGCCCUGCUUUUGUGGGGGUCUCGAGUGGCGAACGGGUGAGUAACACGUGAGUAACCUGCCCUUGGCUGGGGGAUAACUUCAGGAAACUGGGGCUAAUACCGGAUAGGAGCUCCUGCUGCAGGGUGGGGGUUGGAAAGUUUCGGCGGUUGGGGAUGGACUCGCGGCUUAUCAGCUUGUUGGUGGGGUAGUGGCUUACCAAGGCUUUGACGGGUAGCCGGCCUGAGAGGGUGAACGGGCACAUUGGGACUGAGAUACGGCCCAGACUCCUACGGGAGGCAGCAGUGGGGAAUCUUGCACAAUGGGCGGACGCCUGAUGCAGCAACGCCGCGUGCGGGAUGACGGCCUUCGGGUUGUAAACCGCUUUCGCCUGUGACGAAGCGUGAGUGACGGUACUGGGUAAAGAAGCACCGGCUAACUACGUG